UCCAGCGUGGCUCAAUUGGCAGAGCGUCCGGCUGUUAACCGGAUGGUUGGGGGUUCGAGUCCCUCCGCUGGAGCCA
This 76-nucleotide transfer RNA is filed under the name Kosmotogaceae bacterium. RNAcentral describes it as "tRNA-Asn". It matches the Rfam family "tRNA". From Rfam's summary of the family: Transfer RNA (tRNA) molecules are approximately 80 nucleotides in length. Their secondary structure includes four short double-helical elements and three loops (D, anti-codon, and T loops). The record is from RNAcentral. Lineage: Bacteria; Thermotogati; Thermotogota; Thermotogae; Kosmotogales; Kosmotogaceae.